AGUGAACGCUGGCGGUAGGCCUAACACAUGCAAGUCGAACGGCAGCACAGUAAGAGCUUGCUCUUACGGGUGGCGAGUGGCGGACGGGUGAGGAAUACAUCGGAAUCUACUUUUUCGUGGGGGAUAACGUAGGGAAACUUACGCUAAUACCGCAUACGACCUACGGGUGAAAGCAGGGGAUCUUCGGACCUUGCGCGAUUGAAUGAGUCGAUGUCGGAUUAGCUAGUUGGCGGGGUAAAGGCCCACCAAGGCGACGAUCCGUAGCUGGUCUGAGAGGAUGAUCAGCCACACUGGAACUGAGACACGGUCCAGACUCCUACGGGAGGCAGCAGUGGGGAAUAUUGGACAGUGGGCGCAAGCCUGAUCCAGCCACACCGCGUGGGUGAAGAAGGCCUUCGGGUUGUAAAGCCCUUUUGUUGGGAAAGAAAAGCAGCAGGUUAAGACCCCGCUGUUCUGACGGUACCCAAAGAAUAAGCACCGGCUAACUUCGU
RNAcentral lists this ribosomal RNA (491 nucleotides) under uncultured bacterium. RNAcentral describes it as "partial 16S ribosomal RNA". It matches the Rfam family "Bacterial small subunit ribosomal RNA", at positions 29 to 506 of the family's 1533-position model. The record is from RNAcentral.